AUUGAACGCUGGCGGCAUGCCCUACACAUGCAAGUCGAACGGCAGCACGGGAGCAAUCCUGGUGGCGAGUGGCGAACGGGUGAGUAAAGUAUCGGAACGUGCCCAGUCGUGGGGGAUAACGUAGCGAAAGUUACGCUAAUACCGCAUACGAUCUAUGGAUGAAAGCGGGGGAUCGCAAGACCUCGCGCGAUUGGAGCGGCCGAUAUCAGAUUAGGUAGUUGGUGGGGUAAAGGCUCACCAAGCCGACGAUCUGUAGCUGGUCUGAGAGGACGAGCAGCCACAGUGGGACUGAGACACGGCCCAGACUCCUACGGGAGGCAGCAGUGGGGAAUUUUGGACAAUGGGCGAAAGCCUGAUCCAGCCAUGCCGCGUGCAGGAUGAAGGCCUUCGGGUUGUAAACUGCUUUUGUACGGAACGAAAAGGUUUGGCCUAAUAAGCUGAGCUCAUGACGGUACCGUAAGAAUAAGCACCGGCUAACUCUGUGCCAGCAGCCGCCGUAA
RNAcentral lists this ribosomal RNA (500 nucleotides) under uncultured bacterium. RNAcentral describes it as "partial 16S ribosomal RNA". It matches the Rfam family "Bacterial small subunit ribosomal RNA", at positions 30 to 523 of the family's 1533-position model. The record is from RNAcentral.